RNAcentral lists this ribosomal RNA (465 nucleotides) under uncultured bacterium. RNAcentral's name for it is "bacterial SSU rRNA". It matches the Rfam family "Bacterial small subunit ribosomal RNA", at positions 338 to 795 of the family's 1533-position model. The record is from RNAcentral.
CCUACGGGAGGCAGCAGUGGGGAAUUUUGGACAAUGGGGGCAACCCUGAUCCAGCCAUGCCGCGUGAGUGAAGAAGGCCUUCGGGUUGUAAAGCUCUUUCGGCCGGGAAGAAAUCGCUUAGGUUAAUACCCUGAGUGGAUGACGGUACCGGAAUAAGAAGCACCGGCUAACUACGUGCCAGCAGCCGCGGUAAUACGUAGGGUGCGAGCGUUAAUCGGAAUUACUGGGCGUAAAGCGUGCGCAGGCGGUUUUGUAAGACAGGCGUGAAAUCCCCGGGCUCAACCUGGGAACUGCGCUUGUGACUGCAUCACUCGAGUACGGCAGAGGGGGGUGGAAUUCCACGUGUAGCAGUGAAAUGCGUAGAGAUGUGGAGGAACACCGAUGGCGAAGGCAGCCCCCUGGGCCGAUACUGACGCUCAUGCACGAAAGCGUGGGUAGCAAACAGGAUUAGAUACCCUGGUAGUC